Molecule: RNase P RNA, 377 nt
Filed under: Chitinophaga chungangae
Lineage: Bacteria; Pseudomonadati; Bacteroidota; Chitinophagia; Chitinophagales; Chitinophagaceae
Also listed under: 1 other name
Description: Chitinophaga sp. MAH-28 RNase P RNA component class A
Rfam family: Bacterial RNase P class A
About the family: Ribonuclease P (RNase P) is a ubiquitous endoribonuclease, found in archaea, bacteria and eukarya as well as chloroplasts and mitochondria. Its best characterised activity is the generation of mature 5'-ends of tRNAs by cleaving the 5'-leader elements of precursor-tRNAs. Cellular RNase Ps are ribonucleoproteins.
Source: RNAcentral
CGGCAUAGCGGCGCUAUCGUCUUUGCCGCGCAAGCGGCAGGGAAGGAAAGUCCGGACAGCGCAGGGCAACGCACCACCUAACGGGUGGGGCGCCUGUGAAAGCAGGCGUACAGAGAGUGCCACAGAAAAUUACUUCCACGGGGCAACCUGCGGUAAAGGUGAAAACGUGGGGUAAGAGCCCACGUCCCGGGAUGGUAACAUUGCGGGAGGGUAAACCUUGCGUGCUGAAAUGCCAUGUAAACGGUCGUUUGAGGGCUGCCCGCCUGAUGACCGAGGGUAGGCAGAUACAGGCGCCCAGUGAUGGGCGUCGCAGAUAAAUGAUAGCGGUCCCGUUGCAGAACGGGGCACAGAAUCCGGCUUACAAGCUAUGCCGGGUG